GAUGAACGCUGGCGGCGUGCCUAAUACAUGCAAGUCGAGCGAACAGACGAGGAGCUUGCUCCUCUGACGUUAGCGGCGGACGGGUGAGUAACACGUGGAUAACCUACCUAUAAGACUGGGAUAACUUCGGGAAACCGGAGCUAAUACCGGAUAAUAUAUUGAACCGCAUGGUUCAAUAGUGAAAGACGGUUUUGCUGUCACUUAUAGAUGUAUCCGCGCCGCAUUAGCUAGUUGGUAAGGUAACGGCUUACCAAGGCAACGAUGCGUAGCCGACCUGAGAGGGUGAUCGGCCACACUGGAACUGAGACACGGUCCAGACUCCUACGGGAGGCAGCAGUAGGGAAUCUUCCGCAAUGGGCGAAAGCCUGACGGAGCAACGCCGCGUGAGUGAUGAAGGUCUUCGGAUCGUAAAACUCUGUUAUUAGGGAAGAACAAAUGUGUAAGUAACUAUGCACGUCUUGACGGUACCUAAUCAGAAAGCCAAGGCUAACUACGUG
RNAcentral lists this ribosomal RNA (497 nucleotides) under uncultured bacterium. Its description in RNAcentral is "partial 16S ribosomal RNA". It matches the Rfam family "Bacterial small subunit ribosomal RNA", at positions 28 to 507 of the family's 1533-position model. The record is from RNAcentral.